CAGAACGAACGCUGGCGGCGCGUCUUAAGCAUGCAAGUCGAGCGGCAAGCGGUAGCAAUACCGCCUAGAGCGGCGGACUGGUGAGUAACGCGUGGGUGACCUGCCUUGAGGCUGGGGAUAGCCGCUAGAAAUAGCGGGUAAUACCGAAUAUGGUUGCCGGGUUUUGACCUGGCAAAGAAAGGGGCUCCGGCCCCGCCUCGAGAUGGGCCCGCGUCCUAUUAGGUAGUUGGCGGGGUAAGAGCCCACCAAGCCCGAGAUAGGUAGCCGGCCUGAGAGGGUGAACGGCCACAUUGGGACUGAGAUACGGCCCAAACUCCUACGGGAGGCAGCAGCUAAGAAUAUUCCGCAAUGGACGAAAGUCUGACGGAGCGACGCCGCGUGUAUGACGAAGGCCGAAAGGUUGUAAAGUACUUUUGCGGAUGAAGAAUAAGCGUGGCAGGGAAUGGCCGCGUGAUGACGUAGUCCGGAAUAAGCCCCG
This 478-nucleotide ribosomal RNA is filed under the name uncultured Treponema sp. RNAcentral's name for it is "bacterial SSU rRNA". It matches the Rfam family "Bacterial small subunit ribosomal RNA", at positions 25 to 495 of the family's 1533-position model. The record is from RNAcentral. Lineage: Bacteria; Pseudomonadati; Spirochaetota; Spirochaetia; Treponematales; Treponemataceae.